This 459-nucleotide ribosomal RNA is filed under the name uncultured bacterium. Its description in RNAcentral is "partial 16S ribosomal RNA". It matches the Rfam family "Bacterial small subunit ribosomal RNA", at positions 339 to 795 of the family's 1533-position model. The record is from RNAcentral.
CUACGGGGUGCUGCAGUGAGGAAUAUUGCGCAAUGGACGAAAGUCUGACGCAGCCAUGCCGCGUGCAGGAUGACGGCGCUAUGCGUUGUAAACUGCUUUUAUAUGCCAAGAAACCUUCGGACGUGUCCGAAGCUGACGGUAGCAUAUGAAUAAGCACCGGCUAACUCCGUGCCAGCAGCCGCGGUAAUACAGAGGGUGCAAGCGUUAUCCGGAUUUAUUGGGUUUAAAGGGUCCGUAGGCGGAUCAUUAAGUCAGGGGUGAAAGCCGGCAGCUCAACUGUCGAACUGCCAUUGAUACUGGUGAUCUUGAAUACGGUUGAAGUUGGCGGAAUAGGUCAUGUAGCGGUGAAAUGCUUAGAUAUGACCUAGAACACCGAUUGCGAAGGCAGCCAACUAAGCCGUUAUUGACGCUGAGGGACGAAAGCGUGGGGAGCGAACAGGAUUAGAUACCCGUGUAGUC